CCAAUAGCGUAUAUUAAAGUUGUUGCAGUUAAAAAGCUCGUAGUUGAAUUUUAGGCCUGGCCGGGCGGUCCGUCUUUGGCGAGUACUGUCCUGUGUCGGGUCCACCUUCUGGUGAACCAGUAUGUCCUUUAUUGGGUGUGCCGGGGAGCCAGGACCAUUACCUUGAAAAAAUUAGAGUGUUUAAAGCAGGCAUUUGCUUGAAUAGAUUAGCAUGGAAUAAUAGAAUAGGACGUUGUGGUUCUAUUUUGUUGGUUUCUAGGACCACCGUAAUGAUUAAUAGGGAUAGUUGGGGGCAUUAGUAUUCAAUUGUCAGAGGUGAAAUUCUUGGAUUUAUUGAAGACUAACUACUGCGAAAGCAUUUGCCAAGGAUGUUUUCAUUAAUCAAGAACGAAAGUUAGGGGAUCGAAGACGAUCAGAUACCGUCGUAGUCUUAACCAUAAACUAUGCCGACUAGGAAUCGGGCGAUGUUGAAAAAAUGACGCGCUCGGCACCUCAUG
RNAcentral lists this ribosomal RNA (497 nucleotides) under uncultured Glomeromycotina. RNAcentral's name for it is "SSU rRNA". It matches the Rfam family "Eukaryotic small subunit ribosomal RNA", at positions 591 to 1092 of the family's 1831-position model. The record is from RNAcentral. Lineage: Eukaryota; Fungi; Glomeromycota.